This is a small nuclear RNA of Schistocerca cancellata (South American locust), 107 nucleotides long. The record is from RefSeq and is a predicted model, not a curated record. NCBI's taxonomy places the organism in Eukaryota, Metazoa, Arthropoda, Insecta, Orthoptera, Acrididae.
GUACUCGCUUCGGCGGUAUAUAUAGUAAAAUUGAACAAUACAGCGUAGAGAAGCAUGCCCCCCUGCGCAAAGAUGACACGCAAAAUCGUGAAGCGUUCCAUAUAUUC